RNAcentral lists this ribosomal RNA (512 nucleotides) under uncultured bacterium. RNAcentral's name for it is "bacterial SSU rRNA". It matches the Rfam family "Bacterial small subunit ribosomal RNA", at positions 28 to 531 of the family's 1533-position model. The record is from RNAcentral.
GAUGAACGCUAGCGGGAGGCUUAACACAUGCAAGUCGAGGGGCAGCAUAGGGUAGCAAUACUCUGAUGGCGACCGGCAAACGGGUGAGUAACGCGUAUGCAACCUACCCUGUACAGGGGGAUAACCCGGAGAAAUUCGGACUAAUAUCCCGUAAUAAUAUCCGGAGGCAUCUUUGGAUAUUUAAAGUUCCGACGGUACGGGAUGGGCAUGCGUAACAUUAGCUGGUUGGUAAGGUAACGGCUUACCAAGGCUAUGAUGUUUAGGGGUCCUGAGAGGGUGGUCCCCCACACUGGUACUGAGACACGGACCAGACUCCUACGGGAGGCAGCAGUGAGGAAUAUUGGUCAAUGGGCGCAAGCCUGAACCAGCCAUCCCGCGUGCCAGGAAGACGGCCCUAUGGGUUGUAAACUGCUUUUCCAGGGAGAGAAACUUACGCACGUGUUGCGUGACUGACGGUACCCUGGGAAUAAGCAUCGGCUAACUCCGUGCCAGCAGCCGCGGUAAAACGUCUA